Long non-coding RNA from Lagopus leucura (white-tailed ptarmigan), 4203 nucleotides. RefSeq lists it as uncharacterized. Lineage: Eukaryota; Metazoa; Chordata; Aves; Galliformes; Phasianidae. The transcript is spliced from 3 exons. The record is from RefSeq and is a predicted model, not a curated record.
CUCAACCUUUCCUCAUAGGAGAGGUGCUCCAGCCCUCUGAUAUCUUAGUUAUUGCAUUCUUUGCAAUCGCUUGCAGCCUGGGGCUGCUUUCUGGCUUUGAAUUAUUAGACACCCUUUGCUACUUUUUUCUUGUUGUGACAUCCUUCCUACCAUACAAUACAUGUGACAACUGCCAUUUAGUGUAUUCAUAGAGAGGGGUUUAUUUUAGUACCAAUUGUCACACCUGCUAUUAACAUACUAUGUAUUUCAGUUGCUAAAUAUAUAAUAACAACUGCAGUACCCUUUAAAACUGACUUAGGACUGAGAUGGGAAGUGGCUGCUGUGAACUUCCUUUCAGUGGUGUGUCUGGGCUGGAGUUAUUUAGGGCUGCAGUGGUUGAUUUUGUUUGUGAGGAGUUGUGAGGAGGGCCAGCCUUGGAAUAACAGAUGUCCGAUAAUGUUGGGCCUUCCUAGGGGUGAAGAAGGAUAAUUUGGGUACAGGAACGGGAGGUGGUCUGUAUUAGAUUUAACUUAUAAGAAAAUGCUACAAUAAGAAUCUCCUUUUGAUUUGGUUUAAUGUAUUUCUGCAGUUCUUAAAAUAAUUGUGGCAAGUGGAACAAGGUUUAAAGUGUAUAAAAAUGGAAAACUUUCAUUCCAUCUCUGAGAAGCAUGCCAAGUGAUUAAGGUAAAAAGGAAUUUGUGGAAGAAAUGAAGAGUAUGGUCUUCUCUGGAAUGUGAGUGGUAUGGAAAUUUGAUUUGUACUAUAAUAAGUAACAACAGGUGAUUGAUGGCCUAAUAGGGAAAGCAGGCACAUGUGGAUUUUUACCAUUUACAUGGCUGGAAAUAGUUGAAAUCUGAGAAGGAGAGACAGCUGCUGCACAGCAGAAGUAUCCAAAAUAGCAACGCACCAAACUUUUAAUAAGAAUCUUGAAAUGUUGAUGGUUAGCUUUUAAAGACUCACAAAUAGGUUGUAGUAAUGAAGUUGUAUUAGAAAACAAUCCCUUCAGUGAGUUCUAGGAUCACCUGGACUGGAGGGAAGUAGAGAGCUGGGAGGAAGAGGAGCAAAUACGGAUGUUUGUUAGGGAGAACUGGACAGUGAGAACAUGCAAGCUAGAUGAGGGGACAGGUCAGAGUGGUGUAAUCCAUGGCAUGAAGGCCAUCCAAGUGGGUACCAGUGGUGGUGUGCCCUCGGGUCAGUACUGGGGCACCCAGUCAGGACAGAGUGCACCCUUAGCAAGUUUUCUGAUGACGUAGAACUGGGAGGAGUGGCUGACAGACCCCAUGGCUCCCAUUCACGGCGACCUCGGCACAGUGGAAGAGAAACAGGCUGAUGAGAACCGUGUGACGUUCAGCAGACAGAAGCCUAAAGCUGUGCGUCUGGGAAGAAACAACCAGGAGGCUGGUGGUCAACUAGCAGGGAGGGAAAUCCUGUACAAGAUGGCUACAGCUCCCAGGCACGGAGAGGAAUUCCUGUUCUUCUGUGUCCUAGAAGGGCAAACAGUAAAUAGGCAUUCAAAAGAGGUUUUGUAUCAGGCGAGGUGACAGACAUAGGCAGUAUGGUGACAUGUUGAAUUACUGUUUUUUUUUUUUUUAAUGUUAAAGUUGGUCUUAAUUGUUUUAAUUUUUCUUGAGCAGAGACAGGCGUGUGAGUGCUCCUGCAAUAUUCAGGAAUCUCAUUCUGGGACUGCAUUUGGUUUAAGGACUACAGCUGCUACACACAGCAAACCAGGGUGACCAGCAGAUGCCAGCUCUUUGGUUCGGGGCAGUUCUGUUUUCUUUUUAAUAUAGCAGUAUGUUAAAACACUCUGCUUUUAAACCUCCGUGUUAAUGUUCAUAGGGGUAUUUUUGAUUUUUGAAAGCUUUUUGAAAGAUGAAUGCAUCUCUGUCCUGCUUAACUAUUAGAUGCAGAAAACCAUGGCCCACAGGGACUGGUCCAGGAACAGAAGUGGUGAGAAGGUGAUCAGAUGCCUGGUACAUGAAUUUGGUUUGACUUUAUUUUAGUAGAAUUCACACUGUGGAAAGGAUGCUUGAAUUCUGCACAUCACUUAUGUCAAUAAAGGCAGUUUGUCUUCCACCUAACAGGUUUGAUUCUUAGUGUACAAGGCUAACAUUUGCCAGCAGCUUGGUAUUUGCCUCCACGCAGAUACUGUAUAGUGCACAGUUUAUCUUACACUAACUUUCAUAUCUUUAGGACACAGUAUGUGAGAUGAGUCAUAAGCAAAUGGCAGCACCCUUCACUCGGUGGGGAUGGGAUCUUUUUAAUGGUGCUUUAGUACAAGUGAAUCAACUCCUGCCCUUUCUGUAAUGUCACUGCAAGAAUUACUGCUGGAGUAAAUUGUGACACCUUAAUCUUGCAAAGGUCAGCAUUUGCAUUUUGUACAGCCAAGGAAAACAAGUGUAAUAUAUGAAUUCCUGCUAGUGCAACUUCAUUGUGCCAAGAAGGUUUAGAUCAAGCAUAGAGAAGGAUUUUUUCAUGGAGAGGGCAGCCAAGCACUGGAAUGGGCUGCCCAGGGAAGUGGUGGAGUAUUUAGGAGAUGAGUGUACUUGGCACUGAGGGAUGUGAUUUAGUGAUUGGACUUGGUAGGUCAGGUGGAUGGUUGGGCUUAGUGAUCUUGAAGGUCUUUUUCAACUGAGAUAAUCCUAUGAUUCUGUGAUUCUGUUCUAUGAAUUCGAUCUUCUCUUUCUUGAGCUUCAUUUGAGCCCAUAAGCAAAUUAUUGCAGCAUUAUGCUUCUCUGAAACUUUUGGGCUUGGAAGAAUAUGUGCAAUUUCUUUCUCUCCAGUGAGAAGAGAGUUUGUGGGGAAGCACAGAGGGCACAGCUGUUUUGUAUGAAGAAAUCUACAGGGGAGACUAAGUAUAUGGAGAGCCAGCUUUGAGUAGCAAAUGCUGUUUGGCAAUACUGUAGCAUUCAUGUUAGAGUUUAAAAAAACAAAAAGUGAACGUGCAUGCUGUUAUAGGUCUGUUUGCUAUUUAUUGGCCUGUGCUCGGUUAUUCUAAAAACAGCGUUUUUUAGCUGUUGUAUUGUGUAGAUUCAUUAAGGACUUCUGCUGCCCUGCAUGAUGUGCUUAAGUCUGCUUCAACAAAGUCUUGAACUCAAAGCUCUUUUUUUUUUUUUUCCCACCUCUAGAGAGCAGCCUCGAGCUGCUUUCGUGGAGCAGUCCCAGGGAAACGUUCAGCUCUUACUGAGAGAUAAAGUCUCAUCAGGAGGAAAUCGUAGUUGCUGUGGACAGGACUACACAGAGAAAUGAAAGAAGAACCUGGCCCUUCAGAAUGGCGGAUCUACAGCUGCAACAUUGCAGCCAUCUUCAAGCGCUGCCCAGUUUGCCUGCUAGGGCACCAUUUAAGUAUUGAAUAGAGGGUCAUUGCUGUCAUGCUCAACACUAUGAUUGCUGCUGUGAGGCCACUAUUAGUGCAAAUGGCAGUUUCAGGCCCAUUACACUGAGUGCAUUCAAGAGGGCCCAAAACCUGUGGAAAAUGUAUAAUGAAACUAUUUGGGAAUGCUAUUAGGUCAACUGACACCAGAAUGGUAUAUGCAGCUUGUUGUUUUUCUAAUGAGAAAUACUGUUACUACUGUAAAGUAGCUGUUUCUAAUAAUUGUCUAAUUUUCAAAUGGAAGAAUAUAUUGAGAUAAUUGCAUAAGUACUGUCUAAAAAUAAAUUCUAAAACCACUAAAAAUGGCUUUAAAUUUGUUAAAUACUUUAGCUGGCCUUAUUGAAAUACAUUGCUUCAAAAAGUGGGAAAUUAUUCUUUCGUGGUGAGAUGAAAAAAGUGGUUUUAAUAACAAAAGUGCUUUAAAAAUUUAAAUAUGCAAGCACUUCAAACCUUACAGCUUCAAAUGUGGAGAAGAUGAAUUGGUCAAACACUGUCCCUGUUUCAGUUAAAGACAGUCUUGCCACUUAUUUCAAUCAGGUACGGGUUACACUCAAAGUGAUAAAUCUAACUUAUAAUUUCCCUGCUGCUUUGCUUUGCUGGGAGAUAAUAUAUUUACCUCAUUCAGGCCUUGUAUCUCUCAUUAGCUCUCAUUCAGGGACCCCAAAGAGUUUAACAAUCACUCAAAAUCCACUUAUACUUAAAAUACCAAUGUAGGGAUGUCAUCCCUCUUGAACUCUUUCUUAGCAAAUCAAAUCUGUGAGAUUCAAGGCUUCAAAAGGAGAUUAUUGUAGAUUUUACAAAAAUCUUUAUAAGUGGGUCAGUUACUUUACAGCUUUAAUAAUAUUCUUUUUUUU